Molecule: transfer RNA, 67 nt
Filed under: Actinomycetota bacterium
Lineage: Bacteria; Bacillati; Actinomycetota
Description: Actinobacteria bacterium tRNA-Thr
Source: RNAcentral
GCCGGCGGGCGCCGAAACCAGUUCACUCGUAAUGAAGGGGUCCCCGGUUCGAGUCCGGGCGUCGGCU